This 504-nucleotide ribosomal RNA is filed under the name uncultured bacterium. Its description in RNAcentral is "partial 16S ribosomal RNA". It matches the Rfam family "Bacterial small subunit ribosomal RNA", at positions 30 to 523 of the family's 1533-position model. The record is from RNAcentral.
AUUGAACGCUGGCGGCAUGCCUUACACAUGCAAGUCGAACGGCAGCAUGGAGAGCUUGCUCUCUGAUGGCGAGUGGCGAACGGGUGAGUAAUGCAUCGGAACGUACCGUGUAAUGGGGGAUAACGUAGCGAAAGUUACGCUAAUACCGCAUACGACCUGAGGGUGAAAGCAGGGGAUCGCAAGACCUUGCGUUAUACGAGCGGCCGAUGUCAGAUUAGCUAGUUGGUGAGGUAAAGGCUCACCAAGGCGACGAUCUGUAGCGGGUCUGAGAGGAGGCGCCGCCACACUGGGACUUAGACACGGUCCAGACUCCUACGGGAGGCAGCAGUCGGGAAUUUUGGACAAUGGCGGCAACCCUGUUCCAGCCAUGCCGCGUGAGUGAAGAAGGCCUUCGGGUUGUAAAUCUCUUUCGGCCGGGAAGAAAUCGCACAGGCUAAUACUCUGUGUGGAUGACGGUACCGGCAUAAGAAGCACCGGCUAACUACGUGCCAGCAGCCGCGGUAA